CGGACAGUGCCUGGUGGGUAGUUUGACUGGGGCGGUCUCCUCCCAAAGAGUAACGGAGGAGCACGAAGGUGGGCUAAUCACGGUUGGACAUCGUGCGGCUAGUGCAAUGGCAUAAGCCCGCUUGACUGCGAGAAUGACAAUUCGAGCAGGUGCGAAAGCAGGUCAUAGUGAUCCGGUGGUUCUGAAUGGAAGGGCCAUCGCUCCACGGAUAAAAGGUACUCCG
RNAcentral lists this ribosomal RNA (223 nucleotides) under Vibrio parahaemolyticus. RNAcentral describes it as "partial 23S ribosomal RNA". It matches the Rfam family "Bacterial large subunit ribosomal RNA", at positions 2248 to 2470 of the family's 2925-position model. The record is from RNAcentral. Lineage: Bacteria; Pseudomonadati; Pseudomonadota; Gammaproteobacteria; Vibrionales; Vibrionaceae.